UGAGGAAUCUGUCCAUCGGCGGGGGAUAGCCGGCCCAACGGCCGGGUAAUACCGCGUACGACCAUUUGGGGACAUCCCUGGAUGGUGAAAGCAGCAAUGCGCCGAUGGAGUGCCUCGCGGCCUAUCAGCUAGUUGGUGAGGUAACGGCUCACCAAGGCGACGACGGGUANCUGGUCUGAGAGGAUGGCCAGCCACAUUGGGACUGAGACACGACCCAGACCUCUACGGGGA
This 231-nucleotide ribosomal RNA is filed under the name uncultured bacterium. RNAcentral describes it as "partial 16S ribosomal RNA". It matches the Rfam family "Bacterial small subunit ribosomal RNA", at positions 118 to 347 of the family's 1533-position model. The record is from RNAcentral.